This 495-nucleotide ribosomal RNA is filed under the name uncultured bacterium. Its description in RNAcentral is "partial 16S ribosomal RNA". It matches the Rfam family "Bacterial small subunit ribosomal RNA", at positions 28 to 507 of the family's 1533-position model. The record is from RNAcentral.
GACGAACGCUGGCGGCGUGCCUAAUACAUGCAAGUCGAACGCUGAAGGCUGAGCUUUCUUCUCUGGAUUAGUUGCGAAAGGGUGAGUAACGAGUAGGUAACCUUCCUGGUAGCGGGUGAAUACUCUUUGAAACGAUCGCUAAUACCGCAUAAGAGUAGAUGUUGCAUGACAUUUGCUUAAAAUGUGCAAUUUCUUUACUAUCAUAUGGAGCUGCGUUGUAUUAGCUCGUUGGUGGGGUAUCGGCUCAUCAAGGCGACGAUACAUAGCGGCCCUGAGAGGGUGAUCGGGCACGGUGGGACUGAGACAGGGCUCAGACUCAUACGGGAGGCAGCAGUAGGGAAGGGUGGGAAAGGGAAGGAAGUGGGACCGAGCAACGCCGAGUGAGUGAAGAAGGUGGUCGGAUCGUAAAGCUCUGUUGUAAGAGAAGAACGAGUGUGAGAGUGGAAAGUGCACACUGUGACGGUAUCUGACCAGAAAGCGACGGCUAACUACGUG